CAGUCGCCGCGGUAAAACGUAGGUGGCAAGCGUUGUCCGGAAUUAUUGGGCGUAAAGGGCUCGCAGGCGGUUUCUUAAGUCUGAUGUGAAAGCCCCCGGCUCAACCGGGGAGGGUCAUUGGAAACUGGGAAACUUGAGUGCAGAAGAGGAGAGUGGAAUUCCACGUGUAGCGGUGAAAUGCGUAGAGAUGUGGAGGAACACCAGUGGCGAAGGCGACUCUCUGGUCUGUAACUGACGCUGAGGAGCGAAAGCGUGGGGAGCGAACAGGAUUAGAUACCCCCGUAGUCCCUGUCUCUUAUAC
RNAcentral lists this ribosomal RNA (301 nucleotides) under uncultured bacterium. Its description in RNAcentral is "partial 16S ribosomal RNA". It matches the Rfam family "Bacterial small subunit ribosomal RNA", at positions 509 to 807 of the family's 1533-position model. The record is from RNAcentral.